Molecule: ribosomal RNA, 253 nt
Filed under: uncultured bacterium
Lineage: Bacteria
Description: partial 16S ribosomal RNA
Rfam family: Bacterial small subunit ribosomal RNA
Source: RNAcentral
UACGGACGGGGCAAGCGUUGUUCGGAAUCAUUGGGCGUAAAGGGCGCGUAGGUGGUUCUGUAUGUCUACCGUGAAAGCGUACGGCUCAACCGUAUUUUGUCGGUGGAAACUGCAGGACUUGAGGCUGGGAGGGGCUGGUGGAAUUCCCUGUGUAGCGGUGAAAUGCGUAGAGAUGGGGGAGAACACUCGUGGCGAGGGCGGCCAGCUAGACCAGUUCUGACACUGAGGCGCGACAGCGUGGGGAGCAAACAGG